CUGUUUCACAGCAAAAUUGACAGGAAGGUACAAGGCUGUCCCCUAGAAAACUCCUGGCCUUCACAUGCAUGGCCUCCCCCAGUAUCAUCCCCUAUCAGAAUGGUACAUUUGCUGCAGUGAUGAAUCUGUACUGACUCAUGGCCAUCACCCAGAGUCCAAAGUUUAUGUGAUGACGGGGAUCGAACCCAGUGCCUCACGCAUGCUAGGCAAGCUCUCUACCACUGAGAUACAGCCCAAGCCCAAAGAUUCACUCUUGAUGUUGUAUUUUAUAGAUUUAGAUGAAUAUAUGCACCACUAUGAUAUUAUACAGAGUAUUUUCACUGGCUCCCAAAUUCUCCGUGGUUUACCUACUCAUCCCUCUCUCCUCCCAACCCCUGGCAACCACUAAUCUUUUGUCCCUUUGGUUUUGUCUUUCCCAGAACAUCAAGUAGUUGAAGUCCUACAGUGUGCAACCUCUUUAGAUGGGCUUCUUUCAUCUAGUGAUCACGCCUAAGCUUCCUGUGUUCAGGUUCAGUCUGAAACCGAAGUGUCUGAGCUCCAGCAUGAACAGGCCUGUCGUGAAUAUUCUGCACAAAGGGAGGAGUACCCUACACAGCACCCUUUCACAUCUGUAAACUAAGUUGAGGGAACUUCAAUUGCCUUUUCUUUUACAGAUUAAGAAUUUGAGCCAAGCGCAGUGGCACACGCCUGUAAUCCCAGUGGCUCUGGAGGCUGAGGCAGGAGGAUCACAAAUUCAAAGCCAGCUUCAGCAAUUUAGCAAGACCCUAAACAACUCAGCAAAAUCCUCUCCCUAAAUAAAAUAUAAAAAGGGCUGGGGAUGUGGCUCAGUGACUAAGCACCCCUGGAAUCAAUCCCUGGGACCAAAAAGAGAAAAAAAAAAAAAGAAUUUGAAGCAAAACAUCAAAUGAGCGAACACUUUACAGUUUACAAAUGCCCAGAACUCAGACUGGUGGGGGGUGGGGGGCUUAACUUUUUUUUUUUUUUGUACUAGAGACUGAACCCAGGGACAUCCUCAGCCCAUUUUACUCUUUGUUUUGAGACAGGAUCUCACUAAGUUUCCCAGGCUGGCCUUGAACUUGCUGUCCUCCUGCCUCAGCCUCUGGGGUCACAGGUAUGCGCCACCAGCCCAUUCUUACUCAGUUCCUUAGGUGGGCAAUGGAGGAGGUUGCCCAUCCACCGCGAUCCCUUUAAGUGACCUGAGCAGCAUAUUUAAGCAGUGCAGGGACGAGAUUUAAAGUCACCACAAGCAUCCCCAGUCUGUCUCUGGAGUCCUUCCAGACCACCUCCUUGUUUUUCCACCCUGCUACUCCUUGUUCAUAAAUUUCUUGGUUCUCAACUCUCUUUGUUUUGGCUGCGUACCACAGUCUCUCUCCUCCACCCAUCCCUCUGCUGGAUGGUCUGCCGGCCUUGACUCGUUCUUCUGGCUUUCAGCAACCACACUGAUCCAAGUCACUGCUUUUGGUCUUUGUCCUUUGAUCCUCCACACUGCUCCCAAAGGGAAAAAGCAGCCCAUCUGUAGGAUCCACCAGAUGUGUCCCAUCUCUCACCAGGACCAUGAGGGUCACCAUGGUGGUCUGCCAGUUUCAAGAUGGUAGAAUAAAAGUGUUUUUGCUUCCAUUAAAAAAAAAAAAAAAAAAAAACCUCCAAAAUGCUGGGGAUGUGAUUCAGAGUGCUUGCCUAGCAUGUGUGAGGUCCUGGGUUCAAUUCCCAGCAUUGGAAUUGAACCUCCAAACAAGUAGAACAAGAAAUGAAAGCAGAAGUACUGCAUAUGCAGUGCAUGGUGACACACGCCUGUAAUUCCAGCUACUUAGGAGGCUGAGGCAGGAGGAUGACAAGUUCAAGGCCAGCCUCAGCAACUUAGUGACGCUGUCCUGAAAUAAAACAAAAAGGGCUGGGAAUGAAGCUCAGUGGCAGAGUACAUGACUAGUGUGUGAGGUCCUGGGUUCCAUUCCCAGCAUUACACACACUCCCACACAAAUGGAGGUGGGUGGGGAACUGUAUAGAAAACCAGUAGACAACAGUAGCCCCUACUGGAAGUGGAGGGUACAGGGCAAAGCCUCCCAGCUGUUUCUGAUGAUGGUAGCCAUUAGGGUACUCACUGAGAAGCCUCAAGAUUAGACUUUAAAGACAGGAUUCUUUUUUUUUUUUGGUACUAGGGAUUGAACUCAGGUCCUUGUGCAUGCAAGGCAAGCACUCUACCAACUGAGCUGUAUCCCCUCAGGAUUCAUUUUAUGUUUCUUUAGGAUUUUUCUUCUUCCUCCACCAUCUCCUCUUCCUUUUCCUUCUCUUCUCACAUUUUUAUCCCCAGAGCUUAGCAUAGGACUUGGCCAAAUCAACUCCUCCUUAAGCGUUUGUUGAAUGAAUAACAUUGUUUUAUUGAUAUCAUAUAACACUUACCAGCAUAUGAGGACAUUAUUAAUAGAGGGAACUGUAAAAAUGUUUACUACAUUGCUAAGUGAAGCUUCCAUUCCUUCUAUUGGAGAGUGGGCCCUUCUAAACCCAUAGUCUGAGGAACAGAUUUCUUAGCAAUACCUUUGCCCUGAUAUUUAGCAUUUUGUUUCUUUGAGUAUUUAUUAACAUAUAUUUUUAUAUGUAGAUAUAUGUGUAUAUGUGUUGUGUGUGUACACAUAUUUGGUUUUUUUUGGGGGGGGUGGUGGUGCUGGGGAUGGAACCCAGAGCCUCACACAUUCUAGGCAAGGGCUCUACCACUGAACUAAACCCCCAGCCCAAGCUAUAUUUUUAAAUUCACAAAAUCUGCUCUUUCAUUAGCUCAGUUUUAGUCUUUCAUUAUUUUAACAUGAACUUGGUUCCCAUGGAGGUCAGGACUUGAUAAUUACAUUCAGCCUUUUGCAAUUAUUGGUAAGGAACCAGGUAACAGCACUGACAUUUAAUAUUUAAUUGUUUUUGAUCAGCAUUAAUUAGUCACAGAUGCACACCAGAUUCCCAUUUAAUUAAAUACUCUUGGGAACAUAUUGUGGGCUCAGGGAUUCUAACCACAUCAAAAACUAAACGUUCAACUUUAAAAGUUGGGCCCUGGAGACUCAGGCAUGCAUGGAGAGGAAAUUCCAGAUGUCUAGCAUUCCCUCUUUCCUCAGAAACAAACCUCCGACUUCUAGGUCCCUAAGACCUAAAAGCUUAGUGUCUCUUCUGGGAACUUGCAGGCUGCAGUCAUCUCCUGGGUCUUGAAUCACUGGUUUUGCCCUCUCCACUCCAUCGCUCUCCUCCCAGGCAAACAUGACUAAUUUCUCCCACCCUAAAAAACUCACUACUGGCCCCACCUUGUCUCAAGCUAUUGCCCCUUUUCUUUGUCCCCCUUUUGGAGAAAAACUCAGAAAGAUGUGUGCACUUGCUGCCGAUGAUCCCUCUCAUCCUAGCCUUACUCAAAUCCGCUGUCCUUUGGCUUUGACCACUUCAUAGCAACCAUCCUUGUCAAAGUCACCAACAUUACUGACUUGAUGCCAGAUCCAGCGGUCCAUUUUCCAUGCUCACUUACUUGACUCUAUUAAUUAUGUCCUUCUCUUGGAAUGCUCUCUUCAUUUGGUUUCAUUCCAUGAAACCAUCUUGUUGGUUUUCCUCCCAGUCAAGGUCAUUCCUUCUCAUUCUCCUUUGCCAACUCAUCCUCAUCUCCCAGCCUGUAAAUGUUAGACUGCCACAAGGCAGGUCCUUGGUUUCCCUCUCUUCCUUUACAUUCAUUCUUUGGGGGAUCUUUUUUGGCGGGGAGACACGAGGGGUACCAGGAAUCAAACUCAGGGGCACUGGACCACUGAGCCACACCCCCAGCCCUAUUUUGCAUUUUAUUUAGAGACAGGGUCUCACUGAAGUUGCUUAGCGCCUCGCUUUUGCUGAGGCUGGCUUUGAACUCUCAAUCUUCCUGUCUCAGCCUCCCAAUCCCUGAAAUUAGAGGGGUCAAACACCAUGCAACAGCUCUUUAGGGGAUCUUAGCAAAGC
Molecule: transfer RNA, 3948 nt
Filed under: Marmota monax (woodchuck)
Lineage: Eukaryota; Metazoa; Chordata; Mammalia; Rodentia; Sciuridae
Source: RNAcentral